GGUUAGUUCAAAUCAAGUGAAUUUUGUUGAAUUUUCAAUGUUGGCAAAAAUUAGCAUUAGCUACCGCUUCUUGUGGAGUUGCAGCAUCAAUAUUACCAGGAGGUAGAACAACACACUCUCGAUUCAAGAUUCCAAUUGAUAUGAAUUCAGUUAACAUGUGUAAAAUUAGUAAACAAAGUGCACUUGCUAAACUAAUUCAAGCGGCUAAACUUAUCAUUUGGGAUGAAGCUCCAAUGGCACACAAAACUGGUAUAGAAGGUGUGGAUACACUACUAAAAGAUUUAAUGGGUUCUUCUGAAUUAUUUGGCUCAAAAAUUAUGGUUUUUGGUGGUGACUUUAGACAAGUUCUCCCUGUUGUCACUAAAGGUUCAAAGGAAGAUUCUGUACAAGCUAGCUUAGUAACUUCAUACAUUUGGCCAUAGCUUCAUAAACUAUACCUCACAGAUAACAUGAGAGCAAUAUCAGAUCCAGAAUUCACAGAUUACCUUCUCCGAAUAGGGAAUGGACUAGAACCAGCAAUACAAGGGUUAAAAGUAAAUAUCCUGUCCCACUAUUGAUACCAUACAAAAGUGAAACAUAAUCAAUUUUUGAACUUAUCAAAACAGUUUACCCAGAUUUAACUGCUUUUUCCAAGGAUGAUUUUUCAUUGGUAAAUCGAGCAAUCCUUACUACAAAAAAUGAAUUUGUUGAUAUGUUAAACAACUUGUUAAUUAACAUUUUUCCAGGUGAGGCUCAAGAAUAUAUUAGUCGUGAUAAAACACUUGACAUUUCAGAACAAGGCCUAUUUGAAGAUUUUCUGAAUAGCUUAACACCCAAUGGUUUUCCCCCCCCCCAUAAUCUUAUUCUAAAACCAAAUUGCCCAAUAAUUCUUCUCAGAAACAUUGAUCCCCCAAAAGGUUUAUGCAAUGGAACAAGACUAAUAUGUAUAUCUUUAACUAACAAUAUUAUUGAUGCAAUUAUAAGUGCUGGAGAAUUCAAAGGCAAACAAGUCUUUUUACAUAGAAUAUCUUUUCGAAUAGAAAAUAAUCCUAAUUGCCCAAUGUCAUUUGAAAGAGUUCAAUUUCCAGUGUGCCUAUGCUUUGCAAUGACAAUUAAUAAGGCUCAAGGUCAAACCUUAGAUUUUGUUGGUAUAUACUUACGUGAACCAGUUUUUUCACAUGCCCAACUAUAUGUUGCUUUAUCAAGAGCAAAAAGCAGCAAUUGUGUAAAGAUUCUUAUACAGCCUUCUCCUUUUGAUCCAACAGUUGACCAUGCUACCAAUAACAUAGUAUACAAACAUAUUUUACAGCUUGCAAAUCAUCACCUUUCAUAAUUAUUGAUUACAAGAUUGUCAGAUUCAUAUUCAUUGCACUUAUUCAUAUUCAUAAUCCACCAGCAAUUCAUGCUUAACUUGCUUGUACUAAAAUACCUAUUAAGAAAAUUCUUGUAUUAAGAUAUAGCAUUAACUAGAACUUAUGCUUCAUUUAUAAUGCAAAUAAUGUUAAAUCUUUCACAAAUACUGCUCCAUUUUUGAGUUAGCUCAUACUUUUACAAAUGUCCCUAGGGAAUAUUCAAAAAACAGAGGUUAGUGUUCAUACAUUUCAUCUGCCCUUAUUACUGAUUCUUGUAGUCAUAUGUUCAGAAAAUUCGUUAUAUAUUAACAUUACUCAUUCUUGUAAUUGUAUGUUCAGAAAAUUGAUUACUAAGUCUUUAUCGUUUUUGCAGUGAAAAUGUAUAUAAAGAUGAGAACUUUGAUGAGACUCAGAGGCAACUACCUACAUUACUGGCCUCAAAGAUUCAAAGAUGCUUUUUUGUUGGAAGUUUUUGUUUUAAAGCCCACUUCUACAGACUGCUCAUCUCCUUCAUUAAUAUUUUAGCAUUCAUUUUAUCAGUUGACCUUCUAUUCAAUGUAUCAGAAGAUUCAGAUUAUGUCCGGACUAUUCUAGCUAAAGCUAUAGACAAACGUCCUGACCUCAAAACUAAGGCUGCUGAGUCAAAUAAAGCAGCAAAGAUAGAUGCAAGAUCAAGUCAUUAUUGAAAGGAUGCUUGAUAAGUACGUAAACUUCUGAAACAUUACAUUAUACUAUACAUUUCAAAAUUUUCUCAUUAUCUCAUUUUUUGACCCCCUGUAGAAUAAGCAUAAAAUACCAAAGAUUGGAUAAGCUUCAGCAAGCACUUACAAGAAGUGACAACAUUCAAGUAACCGUAUACUAUUGUAAUCAUGUCUCUCACAAUUUUGCCAGCUCUAGAGAAUAUCAACGUGAUGUGAUUAUAUCUACUAUCCAAUUCAUUCUUAUAAACCUUAUUCCUAAUUCUAGAAAAUGUUGGUCCAAGUGUAUCAGAUGUCAAAACUUCAGAAAUUCUAACCUCAACUACUUUAAUGCAUAUGUCACCUGAUUAUUUAAGCAUAUGUCAGCUUCUCAUGUUUUUUGAUAGACCACAAGACAUUGCUGCUGUAUUUGAGAAACUCUUAAGAACAAAAAGUAAGAAUGAUGGUUUAUUGGGAUUUCAAAUAGCAUUUGACCUUGUAGAGAAUGAACACCAAGCUUAUCUUUUGAAAAUGAGGGACUAACUUUCCAGUCCCAAGAAAGAUAUUCAGAUAGCAGAGGGUAAUCAAAAUUCUGAAAGAAACUAUUUAUGCUGCGAAGUUACCAGAAAUAAAAGGAAUGCUGUCUCGAGAGACUUCCAUACAGUUGACAUUGCAAUUCUUAUAUAGUUAUAAUAACUAAGGUAUUUUUCCUAUUUUCUUUUUUUUCCUUCUCAAGAUAGUUUCUCAGUUUACUAGAUUUCUUUGGAAUAUUUCACUAAUUGUUACCUUUUUGCAUAUCAGAUUGCAUUUUGUAAUUCUCAACACAAUAAAACAAUCUGUUGAGAUGAGAAAUAAUAUUUGUCAUAAUGCAACUAUACACACUAAUAGCAUUAUGGAUGUUGUCACAACUGUCAACACAUUACUCUGCACCUACUUUCCUCAUUGUUUUAUAUGCUGCAUAACGAUAAAACUUAUUAUUUCUAUCUAACAUUUUGUAUUUGUUUAAACUAUCAGAACUAGCUCACCAGGACUACAAAUUGGACUAAGUUUAGCGCAACAGCAGUACAGGUUAUUAACAGAGACCAUCUACAGCAAGGAAAAUCACUUAUAGGUCCUUGUCACACAGUGGAGCUGGUGGUGGUGGCAGCUCAUAUUCAGAAAUAUAAGCAUUGUCUGCUAUGAGGAAGGCAUGAAUUAGUUCCUCUAUCAUAGUCUAACAAACACUAACGCUGAAGUAUUUGUCUUAUUGCAUUAUGUAAAAAAGUACCUAUUUUUAUCUUUCGACUUUUCCGUCUUUUUUUAAAAAUUGUCUCCUACACGUUAUUCAGCAUAGUACCUACCUUAGCAGUAUUGGAAACUCCUAAUGAAGAUAUUUUUCAUGAUAUAAAAAAUGUCAUGUAAAAAUUUAUUAAAUUAAAAGCUAUAAUAUAUUUCUAGAGUUAAAAGCUGAAUGAAUUCCAUAAUCUAUUUCUAGAAUUAAAAACUUAAUGAAUUCUUUCUCUUUUUGACAGUUUACGGAACAGAAGAAGCACAUUAUCGAUAAAUGUAUGCAUUAGCAUUUGCUUACAAUGAAACUGCAAACAACAAGACAAUUUGAUACCUGCUGCAUUUUGGUGCAUCAGAAUUAAGCAAUGGUGUUAGGUAAACUGCAAUUUUGGCACUUGGUUAGUUUGUCUUAUGUUUAGGCUUAGCACUUGUUUAUGGUUUAUGUUCUGGACUAUAAGAACUUCACAGCAAAGCUUUGCUUGUCCAAACAACUUUUCAUAUGAUGUCUUUGCUCUUAACUUUUUCUACCCUUAUUAGUCAUUCUUGUAGACAUAUGUUCAGAAAAUUCAUUAUAUAUUUACAUUGCUCAUUCUUAUAAUUAUAUGUUCAGAAAAUUAAUUACUAACUGUUUAUCGUUUUGCAACAAGAGUGUAUAUGAACAUGAGAACUUUGAUGAGACUCACAGCCAACUAGCUAUAUUACUAGCCUCAAAGAUUCAAAGAAGCCUUUUUGUUGCAAGUUUUUCUUUUAAAGCCUACUUCUACAGACAACUCAUCUCCUUGAUUAAUAUUUUAGCAUUCAUUUUACCAGGUUAUGUAAAAUCCAUUUGAAGAAUAGGAAGGAUAAUUUUUUUUUGCUUUCGUAUGUGUUCAUUAUUCAUAACAAACCUUUAAGAAAAUAAAUCAUGGCUAGAUAAAUACUGAUUUUGAAGUAUAAAGUGGCACUGGUAUUACAUAAGUUAACUAUGCAUUUCUUUUUAACCAUGCCACACACGUCUUACUUUAUUUUCUACUAUAUCCUUUUAUCUCAGCUAAAGCUAUAGACAAACGUCCUGAUCUCAAGACUAAGGCUGCUGAGACAAAUAAAGCACCAAAAAUUUAUACUAUAAAUUUAAACUUUCUCUCAUUAUCUCAUUUUUGAAACUCCCUCUAGGUAUAUAAUUAACAAAAGAUAUCAAUAACCUGUGAGAAUAGAUAUAAAAUACCAGAGAUUGGAUAAGCUUCAGCAAAUACUUAUACAAACUGACAACAUUCAAGUGACCCUAUACUAUUGUAAUCAUGUCUGUCACAAUCUUGUCAACUCUAGAAAAUAUCAGCGUGAUAUGAUUAUAUCUAUUUAAUUCAUUCUUCUAAACCUUAUUCCUAAUUCUAAAAAAUGUUGGUCCAAGUGUAUCAGAUGUCAAAACUUCAAAAAUUCUAACCUCAACUACUUUAAUGCAUAUGUCACCUCAUUAUUUAAACAUAUGUCAGCUUCUCAUGUUUUUGGAUAGACCACAAGACAUUGCUGCUGUAUUUGAGAAACUCUUAAGAACAAAAAGUAAGAAUGAUGGUUUAUUGGGAUUUCAAAUAGCAUUUGACCUUGUAGAGAAUGAACACCAAGCUUAUCUUUUGAAAAUGAGGGACUAACUGUCCAGUCCCAAGAAAGAUAUUCAGAUAACACAGAGGGUAAUCACAAUUCUGAAGGAAACUAUUUAUGCUACAAAGUUAUCAAAAAUAAAAGGGAUGCUGUCUCGAAGACUUCCAUACAGUUGACAUUGCAAUUCUUAUAUAGUUAUAAUAAGACAUUUUUCCUAUUUUCUUUUCUUUUCUUCCCAAGACGCUUUCCCAGUUUACUAGAUUUCUUUGAAACAUUUGACUAAUUGUUAGCUUUUUGCAUAUUAGAUUGCAUUUCAUAAUUCUCAACACAAUAAAGCAAUCUGUUAAGAUGAGAAAUAAUAUUUUAGUUAGCACAAGAUAAGAUGUGCAUAAUAUUUUAAAACAUGGUUAGUUAGUUCAAAAUAAGAUCUGAGUACGAUCACUCAAUGACAUUUAGUGAAUCAAAUUUGAUUACAAUGAAAAAAAUAUCAAAGACAAAUAGCAAAUAGCAAGCAUUCUCAAUUUCAAAUUUUGUAUGCUCGGUAACUUUUUCACAUGAACAAAGUUCAGUUUUCAGAAUUAAAUCAGAGGCUGUUUCUCCAAAUCCCACAUUAACUACUUUACAUUCCAUAUUUACAAGGGGAAAAUUUUUUUAUUCAAGGGGAAAUUCCAAAACUUACAAGGAGGAAAAGGAAUUGAAACUUACAAGGAGGAAAAGGAAUUGAAACUUACAAGGAGGAAAAGGAAUUGAGAGUCAAGUUAGUUUUCAAAACAUUUGUAAAAUAUGGUGCUUUGUUUAAAAGUUAAAGUUUGAUAUCAAGUUUUUGAUAUCAUAGCACAAUCAUAGGAACGGAUAUCAAGUUUUUGAUGCUCAUAUAUUUCAUUGUAUGAUAAACAACUAUGACAAUAUGGUGCGUUACUGAGAAUACUGAUUCUAUGAUGGAGAGGACUCAAAACAUCUUGUAGUCAUUGAAAAAUAUUAAGUUGUUUAGUGAUGCAUUUUGUGUCAGUUGAUGUUUCUUAGCAUAUAAAGUUUUUUUUGCAUUCGACAAUGUUGCACAAACAUACACUUUUUAAGUACACACCACAUCCAUCCAUAUAUAUAAUUUUAAGUACAAAUUAUACUAUAAUAUGCACUAAAAUAUAUAAUAUAAUACCUACCACAAUAUGUAUGAUUAGGACUAUCAAUAGGUCUAACUGGCAUGAGUUCGGCCUAUUCAACUUGAGAAAAGUAUGAUUGCAUCAGUAAGACUCGAAUUAAACAUGAGUAGAGCCUGGGUGUCAUUUGGCUCAAUCCAGUUAGAAUCUGAUCCAUUAAAGGUUACAUUAAAAGUGUAUGUUUUGUAUGUAAUAAUGUGUAUAUUGUGUUUAUAGUGAGUUUGGGCCAAUUGUGAAAUAGGCCUGAAAUGGACCAGUUCAAACAUGCUACUGUGCACCUACUUUCCUCAUUGUUUUAUAUGCUGCAUAAUGAUAAAAGUAGUUAUCUCUAUCUAACAUUUUGUAUUUGUUUAAACUGUCACAACUAGCUCACCAGAGCUACAAAUUGGACUAAGUUUAGCGCAACAGCACCACAACUUAUUGACAGCGGCCAUCUACAACAACGAAAAUCACUAAUGGCUCCUUGUCACAGAAUGAGGCUGGUGGUGGUGGCAGCCCAUAUUCAGAAACAUAAACAUUGGUAUUUGUCUUAUUGCAUUAUGUAAAGAAGUACUUAUUUUUAUGUUUCCACUUUUCUACUUUUUUUUAAAAAUCAUCUCCUACAGGUUAUUCAGCAUAGUACCUACCUUAGUCUUGGUUUACAUUUUGCUGCAUCAGAAUUAAGCAACGAUGUUAGACAAACAGCAGUUUUGGCAUUUAGUUAGUUUCUCUUACGUUCAGGCUUGGCACUUACUUAUGGUUUAUGUUCUGGACUAUAAAAAUUUGACACCAAACCUUUACUUCUCCAAACAAGUUUUCAUAUUAUGUCUUUGCUCUUAACUUUUUCUAGCCUUCUACAAGAAUCAAUGAAUAUGCACAGAUUCAAUAAUUCAUCUAAUUGAGUUGCUAGCCUUAAAAUACACAUGUUAUUGCUGAAGCCUUUCAACAUCAGAUGUAAUUGAUUUUAUUCAUGAAGAAGCUUUUAUAACAAUGACCUGAGUGAUUCCCCUGUUAAUGCAUUCAGGUAAUUGGAAAAAAUUAUUCUGGUUAAGCAUGAGGAUGCUAUGAACGAGAUGCAUAAAUUGCUUUGAAAGACAAAACAUAACAAAGUAACUGCAGUUGUUGU
Long non-coding RNA from Coffea arabica (coffee), 7111 nucleotides. RefSeq lists it as uncharacterized. The record is from RefSeq and is a predicted model, not a curated record. NCBI's taxonomy places the organism in Eukaryota, Viridiplantae, Streptophyta, Magnoliopsida, Gentianales, Rubiaceae.